GGCCGCGUGGCCUAAUGGUAAGGCGUUUCUCUCCUACUAUGAGUCUCAGCGAUGUGUCAGUAACUGUCCAUUGCCUCUGGGAAGGGAAGAAAAGAUUGCGGGUUCGAGUCCCGUCGUGGUCG
Aspergillus egyptiacus is the source of this 122-nucleotide non-coding RNA. Lineage: Eukaryota; Fungi; Ascomycota; Eurotiomycetes; Eurotiales; Aspergillaceae. The record is from the annotation of a GenBank genome assembly.